AGGGCGGGCCCCGCGGCCGCGAGGAAUCCCGACUCGGGCGCGCCCCCUCUCGCGCGUCCUCAGCCACUCGGGGAGGAAGGGGUGUGAAACAUGAUAAUGACAGACCGGGCUCUCGGCCGGCCAGGCUCCUACUCUCGCUGGCUCAACGGCUAUUUCGGGAGACCCGUCCGUGCCAGGCGCAGUCGGCAGCGGUGAACGCGACAGGCGAGAGCCCUCUUGUGUGCCCGAGCCUGUGCUCACGGAGUGUUUUCCUGGGCAUUUAACCUUCCCGGCAAGCCCCUGGGGGCCAGGUCCUGUGGCUAACCGUUUAUGAUGAGGAUACUGAGCUUCCAAGGAGGUGCAGAGGCUUGUCCAAAGCCACAGAACUAGAAAGCGAUCAGGUUAGGUGUCAAACCCAGGCGGUCUGCACCUGACCGGUCCGGACCCUGGGGAAAUAGAGCCAGGAAUUAUAACGACAGGGAAAACAACCUCGGAGAAGUGAGGAGCUUGGCCAAGUUCUCAGAACUAGAAAUAGAUUACCAAGCCAACAGACCAGAGCCUACACUCCUGGCCACUAACUUCCAGGUUACAGGUAAAUCUUGUCCCAAAAGACCGUAAAGGGAUGCUGGGAAAAUAAAUGAUGCACCUGGGUGCAGGGGCUGAAAACAAAGAAGCCCAAUAAAUAUUUGCUGAAUGAA
Lagenorhynchus albirostris (white-beaked dolphin) is the source of this 677-nucleotide long non-coding RNA. RefSeq lists it as uncharacterized. NCBI's taxonomy places the organism in Eukaryota, Metazoa, Chordata, Mammalia, Artiodactyla, Delphinidae. The record is from RefSeq and is a predicted model, not a curated record. The transcript has 3 exons.